Molecule: non-coding RNA, 73 nt
Organism: Delphinapterus leucas (beluga whale)
Lineage: Eukaryota; Metazoa; Chordata; Mammalia; Artiodactyla; Monodontidae
Source: the annotation of a RefSeq genome assembly
GCCGAAAUAGCUCAGUUGGGAGGCCAUUAGACUGAAGAUUUAAAGGUCCCUGGUUCGAUCCCGGGUUUCCGUG